This is a long non-coding RNA of Haliotis rubra (blacklip abalone), 148 nucleotides long. RefSeq lists it as uncharacterized. Lineage: Eukaryota; Metazoa; Mollusca; Gastropoda; Lepetellida; Haliotidae. The transcript is spliced from 2 exons. The record is from RefSeq and is a predicted model, not a curated record.
CAGAUAAGCAAACAAAAUAUUAAGCAAUAAACAAAUUUCUAACCUACACAUUACCAAAUGAAGAAACUUCCAACAACCUUAAUUAUUGCAUUAACUGGUACCAUAUAAUAAAAUCUUUUUCGGCACAAAAAUUUUAGGCAUGAAUUGA